Molecule: long non-coding RNA, 3974 nt
Organism: Lagopus muta (rock ptarmigan)
Lineage: Eukaryota; Metazoa; Chordata; Aves; Galliformes; Phasianidae
Exons: 3
Source: RefSeq, a predicted model, not a curated record
GGAGAUCUCUCCUUUGUGGAGUCUUUUCUGUGAACCUACAUCUUUGGGUACAGAUGCGCUGCUGCCAGUGAGAAGUCAGCAAUUAGCAACAGGACCCCACCCAUAAAUUAACAGUGGUAUCUGGGACAGAGUGUACCAUACGCUGGUGUAAAUCCAAGCCAUGUCUCUGGGGAAAGGCAUCUCUAGUUCAGUACAAAAUAUUGGAUUUGUGCACAGUGAUAACAGAGAUGCUUCCAUAGAUGAGCCCCACUGACAUAUGGCAGGUCCAAAUCCACACCACCUCGGGCAGACUACAGCUGUUCCUGUUUCCUGGUUUCAUAACCUAUUGGCUUCAUAAAGGCGGCACACACUUUUCUUAAAAUUGUAUUUCCAAGAAAUCCUCUGACUGGGUUGUGGUUCAACACUUGUCUCCUGCUGAAGUCUCUGUGACACUUAAAGUUGUAUCUUUAAGUCUUUGCGAGGUGCUUGAGACAAACAAUUUCCAAUUAAUAAAAACCUUGGCAGCAGAGGGGCAGUCUGACAAAAUGACAUCUGAUGUGGAAGUGUAUAUGAAGCAAAGGGGUGUCAUUGAAUUCAUGCAUGCAGAGAAAAUUGUACCCACCGACAUUCAUGACUGCUUGCUGAAUGUUUAUGGAGACUACGGUGGAUGUGAACACGGUGAGGUGGUGAGUGGUGUGUUUCAACAGUGAUGACACAGAAAGGCAAGCCAUGUCACACCGUGAAAUGAAGUGCUUCUUGUUCAGCUUGUUCUCAUGAAUCAGUGGAUUACAAUUAGGGAACUGAGUACGGAACUGGAUAUCGGCUUCAGUGCAUUGGAAAUGAUGGCUCCAGCAUUAGAAUAUUGCAGUUUGCUCCAGGUGGGAUGUUCGCACAGGACUAGAAAAAAUACUGUAUGGAAGUUUGUCAGGAUCUAUUGAGUAAAUACAAGGCUGAAAGUAAGUUUCCUGUUAAGAUGUGUCAAAACAACAGUCCAUGGAGUGAUGACGUGACUUUCCCACUGAAGAAAAAGACUCAGCAGGUAAAUUAAUGUGCAGCCUUCUGGGAUAGGGCAGGAGAGCUCCUUCUGGAUUUCCUGGAACCCAGAUAAACCAUCAUAUGACUCGUACAUCACAACACCAACUAAGCUGAAGGCUCAAACUUCCAGAGUCAGGCCAGAGAAGAUGACAACAUCAGGCCCUGCAUCAGUUUAAACACUGUGGAGCAUAUUGCCAGUUUUGACUGGACUGUCCUAUCAGUCAAGUACCUACUAGUUUGGAUUUGAUGCCUUCUAACUUCCCUCUGUUUGGGUCAAUGGAGGAUGGACUGUAUGGGCAACUUUUUCCUAUAAUAUGGAUGCUAUUGUAGCAGCUGUGAAACUGCCAUCCUUGUUUCAGAUUUUGACAAGCAUGGCAUGCAGGCUCUUGUUCACUCCUGGCAAAAAUGUUUUGCUAGUGGUGAUGACCGUGUUGAAAAAUAGUGUUUGUAGUUAAGAAUUUGUGCUAUCAAAUGGUGCUAUUGUGCUUUUUGUCUGUUGCAGUUUUCAUGGAAGUAAGAGGCAUUGCUUUUGUAGGAGUGACCUACAUACAGCAGGAUCAUUAUCACAGAUAUCCUAUAGAUAUCAGUGUGUUUUAUCAUCAAUCCCUCUGGCUGUGGCAUCCAUAAGUUGUAGAAACAGCCAGUGAAGGAUCAAGUCAGCCUCUUCAGUAUCUCACUCUGCUGGCUCAUUGAAGUAGAUUUGUUCUCUUUGUGAACGGUGGCUUGGUGUGAAUUAUUCUGGCAGUUUUUGACUUAGUAACAACGCUUCCAAAGUUAGGUGUGCAGGCACUAUCUUCUAAAUUGUGCACUCUUUUCCAAGAACAGCCUUAGUUGGUUUUAUUCAUGACCUUGUUUAGACAUUUACGCCUCCAAAAAUGAAGCUUCAAAUCGUGCAACUAAAGGAACUUCAAUUGUCUACAAGAAAUUAUCCACACUGCUAAAAAUAAAGCUUUCAUUUUUUGGGCAAAAUGUCAGAUGUCAAAACUUGGGCAUUUUGCAGUUUAAUUCACUCUGGUCUUGCAAUUUAGUUCUGUAGAUAACUGAAGGAAAAUUAUUUAAAACUAGUGCUGUAAGGCGAAGCUUUGUGGAUACGUCUGUAGAGUUUCUUGUAGUGACCAAGUAUUUAAAAGAAUGAUGAUGAAGUGAGAGUCAGAGUUGUCACCUUUCUCAGGACCACAAUGAUACUAAUAUUCUGUGUGUGCAAGAAACACGCUUGGGACACUGCAGGGAUUUAAUAACUGCAUAUCUCUGCAAACAGAUUGUGCUGAAGGAACAACUGUUCUCAGAGCUGGGGCCAGUGCUGUGCAGAAAUGUAGGAACUGGAAUUGGGGGUGAAGGCAGCAGUGAUAGCUGCCAAAGUGUGGGGCUUGUAGAUACCUUUUUCUUUAGGACAUAGGAAAGCUUGUAGAGUGGUAUCACAGAACUUACUCUGCAUGCACACAGACAAAUGAAAGCUUUUGUGCAAAUUCAUCUUAGGAAAAGCAAGUGCUAUUUAUUUAAACGCAUUGUGUCAGUGGAUAUCAUUUUGCAAGCAUCAGGAUUGGACUCUGAAACAUCAUGCAAAUACAGUGAUGGUGUAUAUACACAACUGUAUACCCACUGAACUGUGCUUCAUUUGUUCUUAGUGCCAGUGAAAGCAAAGCAGCCUCCAGCUGAUUAAGGGGAAAAGUCACGGCUGCUAGAAGCCAGGACCUGAUUUAGAAAGCUACUGCUCUGCUUCAAAUAACUGAAGUUAGGAAAGUCCCUUGAAUUUAACCCUAACUUUCUUGUUAUCAGGGAUGGGAGGUGAAUAAGCUGAUGAUUCUUGUUAGUGGUUUUUAAUAGUUUAUCUGUCCACAGUCAGUUUCCAGAGUAACAUGUUUUAUUGCAUUUUUUUUCACAGAAACAGUAAUUUUCAGAAGAGAAAUAAAUAAUCUUAUGGCUCACAGCAAAGGUUCUGUAUUCACUGGAGACCUCUGGUGUAACAGCUGAAUUAAUCAUGAAUAGCUGAACUCUCUCCUGCAGUGGCAUGCCAGAAUCAUUUCCUUGCCAGUGUCUUUGCUUCCUUUCUACUGUCCCCAUAAAGUUGCUACUCUCUGCCUCCUCCUGCAGUGUGGGGCUGCUCCCUGCCCAGUUCCAUCAAAGUGGAUGUCUUGCCUCAUUUUUUCAGCAUCGUUCUGUUGAACUUCAGGUCUUGUGCUCUAAGCAUUGUCCUGACAACCAGUGGGAAAACUCCCACUGUUUUUUAUGGUCUUUGAUACAGUCCUUGCUGAUGUACCACCUUGAAAUCAACCUCUUGCACUGUGUGCUCAUCUGCUUUCUUGCACUGUAAAAAGGCAUGCUGCUCUAGGGUGUGCUGUGUGGUGUGACAUCCCUGGCUCCGCUGCUUCUAGCAGCUUUUGGAAAGAUUACUUUGUGCUAUUUGAGUGUGUCCUGGGCAGCAGCUGGAGGGAAUCUAGGGGACAAAGCACUGCCUACAGAGUUAUGGUUGACAGAAAACACCAAGAUGUGUUGGGAGGUUGUGUGAAGCAGUACCCAUAAUUAUGGCAUGUGUUUUAAGUCACUCUUAAUGAACAGCAAGUUUCAAUUUCACAGGUCUGAAGACUUUUGAUACUACUAUUCAGCAUGAGAUAUAUAAGGUGCAAUGACAGCUAUCAGUUCAGUGAGAUCUGCGGCAAAGCAGGAGAUUGACAGGAUGUAAUGGAGGUGGUAUGAAAGGAUUUGGACUAGAUAAAAGCUUGAUUUCAGAUACUGGCCGAACUUGUUGGAAACAAAGACUGAGCUGGUAUGGAGCAUUAGUGUUAUGGGAAGAGUUGAGAGAAGGAUGAUAGCUUUUUAGAUACUCUCUCACUGGUAAAAAAAAAAAAGUUCUGAGAAGUAAGUUUUAAAUGAUGUUCAGGAUAACUAAACAGCCCACAAGAGUGCUUGAGGUGUGCUGUGAAUUCAGACAUCUCUGAGCUGUAGAGAGAUAGUGAGUUGAU